CUUGGUCAUUUAGAGGAAGUAAAAGUCGUAACAAGGUUUCCGUAGGUGAACCUGCGGAAGGAUCAUUAGUGAACGCCCUCACGGGCUUAUAACUAUUCCAAACCUCUGUGAACCGUGCCCUUCGGGGCUAUUUUACAAACAUGGUGUAAUGAACGUCAUAUAUCAUAACAAAACAAAACUUUCAACAACGGAUCUCUUGGCUCUCGCAUCGAUGAAGAACGCAGCGAAAUGCGAUAAGUAAUGUGAAUUGCAGAAUUCAGUGAAUCAUCGAAUAUUUGAACGCACCUUGCGCCCUCUGGUAUUCCGGAGGGCAUGCCUGUUUGAGUGUCAUGUAGACUCAAUCCCUCGGGUUUCCGAGGAGAUUGGACUUGGGUGUUGCCGCUCUGCCGGCCCGCCUUAAAAGACUUAGCGGGAUAGCACCGUAGUCGGCGUAAUAAGUUUCGUCGGUGAAGGUUGUGAUGACUGCUUACAAUCGCCCUCGGGCAAUUUUUGACUCUGACCUCAAAUCAGGUAGGACUACCCGCUGAACUUAAGCAUAUCAAUAAGCGGAGGAA
Molecule: ribosomal RNA, 554 nt
Filed under: uncultured fungus
Lineage: Eukaryota; Fungi
Description: eukaryotic LSU rRNA
Rfam family: 5.8S ribosomal RNA (bases 177-330)
Source: RNAcentral